RNAcentral lists this ribosomal RNA (497 nucleotides) under uncultured bacterium. RNAcentral's name for it is "partial 16S ribosomal RNA". It matches the Rfam family "Bacterial small subunit ribosomal RNA", at positions 28 to 507 of the family's 1533-position model. The record is from RNAcentral.
GAUGAACGCUGGCGGCGUGCCUAAUACAUGCAAGUCGAGCGAACAGACGAGGAGCUUGCUCCUCUGACGUUAGCGGCGGACGGGUGAGUAACACGUGGAUAACCUACCUAUAAGACUGGGAUAACUUCGGGAAACCGGAGCUAAUACCGGAUAAUAUAUUGAACCGCAUGGUUCAAUAGUGAAAGACGGUUUUGCUGUCACUUAUAGAUGGAUCCGCGCCGCAUUAGCUAGUUGGUAAGGUAACGGCUUACCAAGGCGACGAUGCGUAGCCGACCUGAGAGGGUGAUCGGCCACACGGGAACUGAGACACGGUCCAGACUCCUACGGGAGGCAGCAGUAGGGAAUCUUCCGCAAUGGGCGAAAUCCUGACGGAGCAACGCCGCGUGAGUGAUGAAGGUCUUCGGAUCGUAAAACUCUGUUAUUAGGGAAGAACAAAUGUGUAAGUAACUAUGCACGUCUUGACGGUACCUAAUCAGAAAGCCACGGCUAACUACGUG